UUGCUAUUAGAUCAGAUUUAGUAUUUUACAUUAUAUGUCUCAGUACAAUAAAACAAAGGCAAACAAAAUUUGAAUAGUAGGGAAAGGUUUUAAAUUCUUGAGAUAACUAGUACAACUUGGUUUCUGUCUGUUGGCAUUUUGGUAAUUAACUUACAAAAAGUUAGGCUAAAUUUUUGAAACUAAGUCAGCAUUAUACACCAGUAACUUCUUACAAAAUUGUCUCAAUAUUCCAUUUAAUUAAAGAGCUUAUGUUCACUUCUCCCACCCUUUGUGAAAAUUCUCCCAACCUGUCCCAAUUCUCACCCAAAUUUUAAAUACCAUUUACCAAUCAAUAGCAGUGGCAAUGCAAAAGGCCCCUCUCCCUCCCAAAGCUGUAUAUCAAAGAUAUCAAUACCAGAUAUUCUUCAAUCCAUUAAGUCUUCAGUAGAAUGAUGUGUUUAAGGUCUGAAAUUAUUGUAAAAUGCAAAAGUGAAAACAUUUGCAGCUAAUGGUCCAUGUGUUACAUAACUCAUUUACAGGUAACAGAUAAAAGCUUUGGAAGCCAGUGUUCUCUCCAGGGAUGCUUUCCUUCAGUAGGAUUAACAAUUUGACUAAAGUGUCCUUGUCAUUUUUCUUUAGGGGUAAGGGCUCAUUUCACCCUGAGCAACCCCAACUCAACCACACUGGGGAAACCAUACCACAGGUAGCAUUCACUAGUUUUAAGUAAUAUUUUGACAUUUACUUCAUGUUCUUCAUUAAUCAAAAGAUCACUCUACGUCCCUCCCCAAACUAAAUGUCACUCAACUCUACUUCCCUUAAAAGACAUUAUUCUGUUCAUACUAUUAAUACUUACAUGAAUUCUAGAACUGCCCAACUGUUACUUUUAUUAUACACAAGCCUCUGACCUAAAUUCAAUAAUUACAUUCAUGACUCCUUUCCUAUAUAGUUGUUCAUCUGUUUUGAGGCAGGAAGAUUGCUUGUGCCCAGAAGAUGGAGGUUGCAGUGAGCCAAGAUUAUGCCACUGCACUCCAGCCUGGGAAAAACAGCAAGACACUGUCUCAAAAAACAAAACAAAACAAAACAAAAACAGUUUUCAAGCUUUCUGGACAGCUGGAGGUUAAUAAGUAGUACUUCAGAAAUAUGAGCCGGGAACCAUACUCUGCAGUUAUUUUACAUUAUCUCCGAUAUUCUCAAACAUCAAACUAAAGCUAUUUUAGAGAAAGGAACCAAGUAACUCACUCAAAAUUUCUCAUAGGUAAUGAGGAAAGCUCUGGCUGACUAUAAGAAAAAAAAAAUUGGAUGACUAGGCUCUCAUUUUGCUAAAUUACCACGUUAAUUAUGAGCCCAACUACCACCCCUGCCAGCUUUCACUUAUAAAUGCUAGAAAAACACUUCACACAAAAAAAUACAUAAGAUUACUAUAUUUCCUUUUAAGAGGAACGUUUCAACAAAUUUUACAGGUGUCAAUCAACCCUUGUUCAAAUCGGGCACACAUCAAAUCUAGCA
RNAcentral lists this long non-coding RNA (1485 nucleotides) under Homo sapiens (human). Its description in RNAcentral is "HSALNT0151122". Lineage: Eukaryota; Metazoa; Chordata; Mammalia; Primates; Hominidae. The record is from RNAcentral.